This 151-nucleotide ribosomal RNA is filed under the name Aponogeton satarensis. RNAcentral's name for it is "5.8S ribosomal RNA". It matches the Rfam family "5.8S ribosomal RNA". From Rfam's summary of the family: 5.8S ribosomal RNA (5.8S rRNA) is a component of the large subunit of the eukaryotic ribosome. Lineage: Eukaryota; Viridiplantae; Streptophyta; Magnoliopsida; Alismatales; Aponogetonaceae. The record is from RNAcentral.
AUAAGACUCUCGACAACAGAUAUCUAGGCCCUCGCAUUGAUGAAGAACGUAGAAAAGUGCGAUACUUGGUGUGAAUUGCAGAAUCCCGUGAACCAUCGAGUCUUUGAACCGGAGCCUUCGGGCCGAGGGCACGCCUGCCUGGGCAUCACGC